UGCGCAGGCGGUUAUGUAAGACAGAUGUGAAAUCCCCGGGCUCAACCUGGGAACUGCAUUAGUGACUGCAUAGCUGGAGUACGGCAGAGGGGGAUGGAAUUCCGCGUGUAGCAGUGAAAUGCGUAGAUAUGCGGAGGAACACCGAUGGCGAAGGCAAUCCCCUGGGCCUGUACUGACGCUCAUGCACGAAAGCGUGGGGAGCAAACA
This 207-nucleotide ribosomal RNA is filed under the name uncultured bacterium. RNAcentral describes it as "partial 16S ribosomal RNA". It matches the Rfam family "Bacterial small subunit ribosomal RNA", at positions 568 to 774 of the family's 1533-position model. The record is from RNAcentral.